This 2315-nucleotide ribosomal RNA is filed under the name mouse gut metagenome. Its description in RNAcentral is "bacterial LSU rRNA". It matches the Rfam family "Bacterial large subunit ribosomal RNA", at positions 598 to 2925 of the family's 2925-position model. The record is from RNAcentral.
AUCGUACUUUUUGUAGAACGGGCCGGCGAGUUGCGUUAUGUAGCGAGGUUAAGUAAUUAAGUUACGGAGCCGAAGCGAAAGCGAGUCUUAAUAGGGCGACAUAGUUGCAUGACGCAGACCCGAAACCAGACGACCUAACCAUGAGCAGGUUGAAGCAGUGGUAAGACACUGUGGAGGACCGAACCCACGCCUGUUGAAAAAGUCGGGGAUGACUUGUGGUUAGCGGAGAAAUUCCAAUCGAGUCUGGAGAUAGCUGGUUCUCCUCGAAAUAGCUUUAGGGCUAGCCUCUAUUUGAGAUUACUGACGGUAGAGCACUGAAUGGGCUAGGGGGCUUCACAGCUUACUGAACCUUAUCAAACUUCGAAUGUCAGAUAAUUAUAGUAGGGAGUCAGACAGUGGCAGAUAAGUGUCAUUGUCAAAAGGGAAACAGCCCAGAUCUACAACUAAGGUCCCAAAGUACAAGUUAAGUGGUAAAGGAUGUGUCACCACUAAGACAACCAGGAUGUUGGCUUAGAAGCAGCCACUCAUUCAAAGAGUGCGUAAUAGCUCACUGGUCGAGUGGUGGUGCGCCGAAAAUUACCGGGGCUAAAACUUGUCACCGAAGUUUAGGCAUAUAUGUAAAUAUAUGGGUAGAGGAGCAAUGUAUACAGGCUGAAGCAGUAUCGGAAGGGGCUGUGGACAGUAUACAAGAGAGAAUGCCGGCAUAAGUAGCGAGAGCAUAGUGAGAAUCUAUGCCGUCGAAAGUCUCAGGUUUCCUGGGGAAGGUUCGUCCUCCCAGGGUAAGUCGGGACCUAAGCCGAGGGCGAAAGCCGUAGGUGAUGGACAACAGGUAGAUAUUCCUGUACCACCAAUAAACGAUUAAAUGAAGCAAUGACACAGAAGGAUAGUCAAGGCGCGAUGAUGGAUAGUCGCGUACAAAUCAUGAGGCUGGCAAGUAGUGAAGUACGCUUGCUAAGGCUAGGUGAUGACGUGGAGUGAAAACUAGUAACGAAGUUGAUGAAUUCACGCUGGCGAGAAAAGUUGCUAAAUAAGUUUAAAGGUGCCCGUACCGCAAACCGACACAGGUAGACGAGGAGAAAAUCCUAAGACGAGCGGGAUAACCAUUGUUAAGGAACUCUGCAAAAUUGCCUCGUAACUUCGGGAGAAGAGGCGCCAACGAGAGUUGGUCACAGAAAAGAGGCCCAAGCAACUGUUUACCAAAAACACAGGUCUCUGCGAAAUCGAAAGAUGACGUAUAGGGGCUGACGCCUGCCCAGUGCUGGAAGGUCAAGGGGAAAUGUUAGCGCAAGCGAAGCAUAGAACUUAAGCCCCAGUGAACGGCGGCCGUAACUAUAACGGUCCUAAGGUAGCGAAAUUCCUUGUCAGGUAAGUUCUGACCCGCACGAAUGGCGUAACGACUUGGGCACUGUCUCAACAAUGGACCCGGCGAAAUUGUAGUAUAUGUGAAGAUGCAUAUUACCCGCGACUGGACGGAAAGACCCCGUAGAGCUUUACUGUAACUUGAUAUUGGAUUUCGGUAAUUAAUGUACAGGAUAGGUGGGAGACUGAGAAGCAGAGGCGUCAGCUUCUGUGGAGUCGCCCUUUGGAUACCACCCUUUGAUUAUUGGAAUUCUAACCUUGUGCCGUUAUCCGGGCAAGGGACAGUGUCAGGUGGACAGUUUGACUGGGGCGGUCGCCUCCUAAAGAGUAACGGAGGCGUUCAAAGGUUCCCUCAGAACGGUUGGAAAUCGUUCGUAGAGUGUAAAGGUAUAAGGGAGCUUGACUGAGAGACAGACAUGUCGACCAGAUACGAAAGUAGGACUUAGUGAUCCGGCGGUAGAGAAUGGAAUUGCCGUCGCUUAACGGAUAAAAGUUACCUCGGGGAUAACAGGCUUAUCUCCCCCAAGAGUUCACAUCGACGGGGAGGUUUGGCACCUCGAUGUCGGCUCGUCACAUCCUGGGGCUGUAUUCGGUCCCAAGGGUUCGGCUGUUCGCCGAUUAAAGUGGCACGCGAGCUGGGUUCAGAACGUCGUGAGACAGUUCGGUCCCUAUCCAUCGUGGGCGUAGGAUAUUUGAGAGGAUCUGCCCCUAGUACGAGAGGACCAGGGUGGACGAACCUACUGUGCACCAGUUGUCACGCCAGUGGCACAGCUGGGUAGCGGAGUUCGGAUGGGAUAAACGCUGAAGGCAUCUAAGCGUGAAACCCACCUCAAGAUAAGAUAUCCCAUAUUUUAGAAUAGUAAGACCCCUUGAAGACUACAAGGUUGAUAGGUCGGAGGUGUACAUACGGUAACGUAUUUAGCUGACCGAUACUAAUAGGUCGAGGGCUUGAUCAG